ACCGAUAUGGUGGAAUUGGUAGACGCGCUGGGUUUAAGUCCCAGUGACCCGAAUGGGUCGUGUAGGUGCAACUCCUACUAUCGGUACAA
Molecule: transfer RNA, 89 nt
Filed under: Bacteroidota bacterium
Lineage: Bacteria; Pseudomonadati; Bacteroidota
Description: Bacteroidetes bacterium (marine metagenome) tRNA-Leu
Rfam family: tRNA
About the family: Transfer RNA (tRNA) molecules are approximately 80 nucleotides in length.
Source: RNAcentral